Long non-coding RNA from Saccostrea echinata, 382 nucleotides. RefSeq lists it as uncharacterized. The transcript has 2 exons. The record is from RefSeq and is a predicted model, not a curated record. NCBI's taxonomy places the organism in Eukaryota, Metazoa, Mollusca, Bivalvia, Ostreida, Ostreidae.
UGCAGUUAGAAAGUGUCACACGUGUGGAAACGCUAAUAACUCUUUGCCAUGUGACACGAGGACCAUCUACUUGGGUAAUUUACAGAACUGUGCACCGGGCGAGGAUUUCUGUAUGACUGAUAUCGUCCACGAUGGAAGUGCUUAUCCUAAAACCUUUAAAAGAUGCGUGUCGGAGCAGGAGUGUCGAAAUAAAUGGCUCCACCAGACGUCUGAUUUAGACUACUGUCUGCACUACGGAAGUGUUCCUAUGUCAGGACAGUACAGCUGCCAUUUUUGUUGUGUAACAGAUGGAUGUAAUGCCGGACAGGUUCCGGAUAAAUCCACCUAUUAUUCUAAAGCAUGAAAUCAUUUAUGAGAAUAAUAAACAGAAUCGUACAAUUUU